Non-coding RNA from Picea glauca (white spruce), 73 nucleotides. The record is from Rfam. Lineage: Eukaryota; Viridiplantae; Streptophyta; Pinopsida; Pinales; Pinaceae.
ACCCACUUAAAUCAGUGGUAAGAGUAUUGCUUUCAUAUGGCAAGAGUCAUUGGUUUAAAUCCAAUAGUAGGUA